GAGAGAAAUGAAAUGCAAUCCUCUGAUAUCGAUUAUCAAUUCGGAGCCAUCAACGUUAAAUAGAUAUUUUCUCUGAAAUUAAACAAGAAUUCCUUCCUUUAAUUCUUAUAUUCAAAAGAAAAUACGCGAAAUGUUUUUUUAUAUAUAUUCAAUUCAAUUUAUUAUUGAAUGAAUUAACUAUUUAUAUCUAUACCGGUUUACCAAAUUUUAACCAUCAUCACCAUCAACAAAAACCGGUCAACUCUCAUGGAAUUGCGCCAUCAGAAACAAAACAGAGAUUUGAGAACUGUGUUUCGAGUUAUUAAAUUUUCGUUAAACCCAAUGGAUAAAUGGCUUUGAAUUCGUGUAAAAACUUCGAAAAAGCUAAUAUGGAAAUUCAACGUUUAUAGUUUCUUAAAACUAUUUCGUUUUUGGUGAAUAUUUGAAAAUCGGCUACAUUUCGAAGAUAUAGAGAACUUAAGCUGAAAUCGAAACAAAAUCUCAGUAUUACUUGAAUGUACACUGAAGUAGGGGAUUCUGCAGUUUUACUCGAGAAUGGACGGUGGUCGAGAAAUGGACGCCAUCGACGGCAUAUGAAGGCGUAACUAACUUUCGUAUGAAAUAAAGAUUGACGAUAUCCGUGCAGUUUCUCCAGCUCUAUGAUAUUCCCAAUUAUUUUAAAUGGAAAAAACAUGGGGGAAGAUAGUCGCCCUUUUGUCUUGUAAUUUAUUAAAACAGAAAACUUUGUGUUUUCUUUGAAAGUGAUUAUUUUAAAUAUCUACUCAUUAAUUUUAAUUCCAGUUAAAUAUAAAUAAGUCAGCGAUUCUCAACCUGUGGGGCGUCCCCUCUAGGGAGGCGCGAGCACACUAGAGGAGGGGGGGGGGGCGCGAGAAUAUUCAAGAGAAAAUAUUUUAAAAAAUUGAUUAACUGACUGAAAGGAAAGCACGCUACACAUAGAAAACAAGAUACAUUUCGACAUAUUUAAUAACUUAUAAAAGUAAAAUAACUUACUAAAUCAAAACUUACUUAAUCAAAACAUACUAAAUUAAAAACAAAUUUAAUAAUUAUUAGUGACUUUCUUGGGCCUGUCUUGCAAAGUAAAGUUUUUCGAAGGAAGGCUUAGUAUUAAAAAUAGCCACUCUCAGUUCUGUUUCUAUAUUUUGUCUUCAAAGAAGCCUGAGCAGAAAAUCCAGUUUCACAAAAGUUGGAUGUUGAAAAUGGUAAUAGAAUGUGAAAUGCCCUUGUUUCUAAUGCAGAAAAAUCAUCCUUACUCCUGCCCAAAAUUCAAAUAGCAAUUUAUUACUAAAUUGUCUAUUAGUUUCGUCACUUAUCGUGAAGUCUGAAUUUUUCUUCCUCAUCAAUUGAGAGUCCUUCGGGAGUCUUAUGAAAUGGAUCCCUAACCCACUCGUAACUUGCUAUCAGUUUGUCGUCAGCAAGAAAAUACUUUUUAAAUUCUUUACCAGCAUGUCUAAAAGAUUUUCAAUGGUUGCAAAACAACUUUUACAUGUUCUUCUUCAACCUUGUAAGUUUUAGUACAAUCAUCCACAUUUGCAAAUAUAAGCUAGGUUUUUUGCUUUAAAUUUCUGCUCUACAAUUCCAAUUUUCUCCAAAAGUAUUAACUUUCCCACUCGUAUCCAACAUACGCAUGUGUAUUUGCUCCUUGGAGUUGAAGAUUCAAGUUAUUUAAUUUCUCGAAUAUGUCGACCAAGUACCUCCAUUUCAUCACAAAUAAAUCAUCACGAAAAUUCUCGGCCUCCUGUCUGUUUUCUUCUGCUAGGAAAUUGGCGAUUUCUUCUCUUUAUUCAUAAACACGUUGCAAAAAUUUCCCACGUGAUGACCAUCUUGCCUCGCAAUAAAAUAGUAAUGCUGAAUGUAUUGAAACCCAUGUCUUUACAAAGAGAGAAAAUGUAUUCCCAGUUUCUAAAUUUAGCUCACCCCGUCUAGGUUAACUUUCAUUAAUGAAUUUCUUUACUUUCAUAUUCUUUUAACGUUAUCUCCCUGUUUGGCUUUCAUUUCAAAUAUAAUAUUUAAAUUUUGCUGCUUUCAUUUGCUUCAUCUGUUUACCGGUCUGUAUCAUCUGUUAUCCGGCUUGUCCAAAAUGCAAGAUGUAGUUUCUCGCCAACGUUGGCUCGCUUUUUCUCUUGUUUUGGCAGUUUGUUAAAAAUAAUUUAAAAACAGAAUCCAAAAUAUUCAAUAUACAUUAUUGUUGUAUACAUUUUAUUAUAAGCGGGGGGCGCGAUGAAAAUUAUGAUUGAAAACUGGGCCGCAAAUAUUGAAAGGUUGAGAAACGCUGAAAUAAGUCAUGCAUUGAGUUGCAUCCUUGUUGAAUAAAUGCUUUUGUAUCCAUAUUGUGCAAACCGAAAUUGCAGAAUGCAAUUUUCUAAUUAUAUUUUGAUAAUUUACAUAUUGUGGAUUCAGAAUAUUUUGCGUAUUAUGAAUUGUAUAUAAUGUGAAUUUCUAUAAUGUGUAUAUUAUAUGCAUUUUGUUAAUUGAUUUUUUUUGUGUGCAUAAGAAUUUCAAUUUUCCUUAAGAUAAUUUGAAAAUUCGAUUCAGAAAUGAUUCCUUUAAUUUUCUUUGUUCACUAAGAUAUGUAAAUAAAUAAUUUGCAUUUUCUGAAAUGUGCAUAAUGUGAAUUAUUAUGCUGUGCACAUCAUAUUUAUUCAUUGAUUUGGUCCUUGUCAUAUUAUAUGGCAAAACAAAAUUUGACAGUGAUUUAAUUUCGACUUAGUUGGAAUAAGAAUUCCAAUUUUCUCUAAGGUAAUUUUGAAAUUUGAUUUAGGAGUGGUUCCUUUAAUUUUCUUUGUUCAGCAAGCUGCGUGAAUGUAUAUUCUAUAUAUUUUGAAUUGUACCUUUGUUAUACGAUGUUGUAAAACAAGAAAAACGUAGUUUUUUAAAAAAAAUUUAGUAUUGAACGUAACACCUUGUAAAAUUUUAUAAAA
Molecule: RNA transcript, 2918 nt
Organism: Argiope bruennichi
Lineage: Eukaryota; Metazoa; Arthropoda; Arachnida; Araneae; Araneidae
Exons: 2
Source: RefSeq, a predicted model, not a curated record